UGAUCCAGAGUACCACGGGACACGUGAAACCCUGUGGGAAGCAGGAGGGACCACCCUCCAAGGCUAAAUACUACCUAGUGACCGAUAGCGUAUAGUACCGUGAGGGAAAGGUGAAAAGAACCCCGGGAGGGGAGUGAAAUAGAACCUGAAACCCUGCACUUACAAGCUGUGGAAGCACAUUUCUUGUGUGACCGCGUACUUUUUGUAGAACGGGCCAACGAGUUACGUUAAGUAGCAAGGUUAAGCACUUAAGGUGCGGAGCCGUAGCGAAAGCGAGUUUUAACUGAGCGUUCAGUUACUUGACGUAGACCCGAAACCGGGCGACCUACCCAUGAGCAGGAUGAAGCGAAAGUAAAAUUUCGUGGAGGUCCGAACCCACGAGCGUUGAAAAGCUCGGGGAUGACUUGUGGGUAGCGGUGAAAUUCCAAUCGAGCCCGGAGAUAGCUGGUUCUCCCCGAAAUAGCUUUAGGGCUAGCCUCAAGGUGAGAGAUACGGAGGUAGAGCACUGAAUGUCCUAGGGGGUAUUGCACCUACCGAAGACUAUCAAACUCCGAAUGCCGUCAUCUUAUACUUGGGAGUCAGACUGUGGGUGAUAAGAUUCAUAGUCGAAAGGGCAACAGCCCAGAUCGUCAGCUAAGGUCCCUAAAUGUAAGUUAAGUGGUAAAGGAUGUGGGAUUGCACAGACAACCAGGAUGUUGGCUUAGAAGCAGCCACUCAUUCAAAGAGUGCGUAAUAGCUCACUGGUCGAGUGAUCCUGCGCCGAAGAUUUCCGGGGCUAAAACUUACUACCGAAGCUACGGCAUCAGUAAUGAUGGGUAGGGGAGCUUCCCAUACGGGUUGAAGCAUGACCGUAAGGACAUGUGGACAGUAUGGGAGUGAGAAUGUUGGCAUGAGUAGCGAGAUGUGGGUGAGAAUCCCACAGGCCGUAAACCCAAGGUUUCCAGGGGAAGGUUCGUCCGCCCUGGGUUAGUCGGGACCUAAGCUGAGGCCGAAAGGCGUAGGUGAUGGACAACAGGUUGAUAUUCCUGUACUACCGAUAACCGUUUGAGAGAAGGGAUGACACAGUAGGAUAAGCUAAGCACACUGUUGGUUAUGUGUGCCCAAGCAUUGAGGCAGUCAAAGUAGGCAAAUCCGCUUUGAUAAUGCUGGGAUGUGAUGGGGAGCGAAAUUUAGUAGCGAAGUAGCUGAUUUCACACUGUCAAGAAAAGUCUCUAUCGAGGUUAAAGGUACCCGUACCGCAAACCGACACAGGUGGGUGAGGAGAGUAUCCUAAGGCCAGCGAGAGAACUGUUGUUAAGGAACUCGGCAAAAUGACCCCGUAACUUAGGGAUAAGGGGUGCCACCAUCAGGUGGCCGCAGAGAAUAGGCCCAAGCGACUGUUUACCAAAAACAUAGGUUUCUGCUAAGUCGCAAGACGAUGUAUAGGAGCUGACGCCUGCCCGGUGCUGGAAGGUUAAGGGGAUCUGUUAGAGCAAUCGAAGCAGUGAACUUAAGCCCCAGUAAACGGCGGCCGUAACUAUAACGGUCCUAAGGUAGCGAAAUUCCUUGUCGGGUAAGUUCCGACCCGCACGAAAGGCGUAACGAUUUGGGCACUGUCUCAACAACAGACUCGGUGAAAUUGUAAUUCCGGUGAAGAUGCCGGAUACCUGCGACAGGACGGAAAGACCCCAUGGAGCUUUACUGUAGCUUGACAUUGGGUCUUGGUACUACAUGUACAGGAUAGGUGGGAGGCUUUGAAACCAGGACGCCAGUUUUGGCGGAGCCAUCCUUGGGAUACCACCCUUGUAGUACUGGGACUCUAACCAUAGGCCAUGAAUCUGGUCUUGGGACACUGUCAGGUGGGCAGUUUGACUGGGGCGGUCGCCUCCCAAAAGGUAACGGAGGCGCUCAAAGGUUCUCUCAGUACGGUCGGAAAUCGUACGUAGAGUGUAAAGGCAAAAGAGAGCUUGAUUGCAAGACAUACAGGUCGAGCAAGGAUGAAAAUCGGACUUAGUGAUCCGGUGGUUCUGCGUGGAAGGGCCAUCGCUCAACGGAUAAAAGCUACCCUGGGGAUAACAGGCUUAUCUCCCCCAAGAGUCCACAUCGACGGGGAGGUUUGGCACCUCGAUGUCGGCUCAUCACAUCCUGGGGCUGUAGUAGGUCCCAAGGGUUGGGCUGUUCGCCCAUUAAAGUGGUACGCGAGCUGGGUUCAGAACGUCGUGAGACAGUUCGGUCCCUAUCCGUCGCAGGCGUAGGAAAUUUGAGAAGACCUGUCCUUAGUACGAGAGGACCGGGAUGGACGUACCUCUGGUGUACCAGUUGU
RNAcentral lists this ribosomal RNA (2302 nucleotides) under Clostridioides difficile. RNAcentral describes it as "partial 23S ribosomal RNA". It matches the Rfam family "Bacterial large subunit ribosomal RNA", at positions 403 to 2724 of the family's 2925-position model. Lineage: Bacteria; Bacillati; Bacillota; Clostridia; Peptostreptococcales; Peptostreptococcaceae. The record is from RNAcentral.